CCAACGGCUCUUUUAAGAGCCACCCAACAAUUCUCCAAGAGAGCUG
Regulatory RNA element from Callipepla squamata (scaled quail), 46 nucleotides. It matches the Rfam family "Histone 3' UTR stem-loop". From Rfam's summary of the family: The mRNAs of metazoan histone genes lack a poly-A tail. 3' end processing occurs at a site between a highly conserved stem-loop (modelled by this family) and a purine rich region around 20 nts downstream (the histone downstream element, or HDE). The record is from Rfam. NCBI's taxonomy places the organism in Eukaryota, Metazoa, Chordata, Aves, Galliformes, Odontophoridae.